UACGUAGGGUGCGAGCGUUAAUCGGAAUUACUGGGCGUAAAGCGUGCGUAGGCGGUUCUACAAGCUUGAUGUGAAAGCCCCGGGCUUAACCUGGGAAUGGCAUUGAGGACUGUGGGGCUGGAGUGCGGCAGAGGGAGGUGGAAUUCCACGUGUAGCAGUGAAAUGCGUAGAGAUGUGGAGGAACACCGAUGGCGAAGGCAGCCUCCUGGGCCGACACUGACGCUGAUGCACGAAAGCGUGGGGAGCAAACAGG
Molecule: ribosomal RNA, 253 nt
Filed under: uncultured bacterium
Lineage: Bacteria
Description: partial 16S ribosomal RNA
Rfam family: Bacterial small subunit ribosomal RNA
Source: RNAcentral